Non-coding RNA from Cajanus cajan (pigeon pea), 444 nucleotides. The record is from RefSeq and is a predicted model, not a curated record. Lineage: Eukaryota; Viridiplantae; Streptophyta; Magnoliopsida; Fabales; Fabaceae.
GUGUGUGUGCGUGUGCCUCUGUUUGUGUGCUCUACGUGCUCAUUUCUUUGUGCUUUGUGUCUGUACUCUGUACUGUGUGUCUUUGUUUGCCUUUGAGUCCUUGUGUGCAUGUUGUGUUUUGUAUGUGUUUCUAUGUGCGUGUAUCUGUCUUUUUUGUGUUCACAGGUGGCAGCCCUUCAGUUUGGGAACACUACUAAUAUUCUUGAGGCAUAUUCAUAUGGUUCAAGUGAGGAACAAGUAAGUCUUUGUAUGAUGGCAAAACUGAAUCCUAACAUACUCACAUCAUGUUUAUGUGGCAGGAAUUUUGCGAAUUAUCAAAUUGCUGUGAAAUCACAACGGAAAAGAUAACAAAGUUGUUAUUGCACGUAAUAUCAUGUAUGUUGUGGGACACUAUCCUCGGUUUUGAAGUGCUCAUUGGAAGUUUCUACAAACUGUUGUGAAUUA